CCUGUUUUGCCAGGCGUCCGGGAGCUGGAUGUUGUCUCCUGGGCUACCGAGUGUCCGCGGGUGGGUUUGGCCGCGAAGGCGUUAGGGCGGGCGAAGACAAAGAGAGAUUACAUCUUCGAGGCUCAAGUGGUUUGGGGUCUUUCACAAUUGGGUGCUUCGCCUGCUUCUCACUCUGCAUCCUCCCCCAGCCAUUUAGUUCACAGCCGCUGCUAUACCUGCUCUACGAACUGCAAACACCCAUGUUUCUGUGAGAUCCACAUUUCUCUUCAGAACCUUCGCUCCUCCACGUUUGGUUUCGCUGUCCUUUGCUGUGACAUCUAGCACUCAGGCAGCUGUUUUGUGACCAUGAGUGGAGCCAAGCAGAGAGGACAAGCCAACAUGUUGAAGAUGGAUGAGAAGAAAGAUGGGAAAGUUCCAGGGUCGCUGAUAAAUUAACCAGCCUGGGGAUAUUACAUGUGGCCUCGUGUUAUGUAAGAGAGUAAAUGUCCUUAUUAGCAACAUAUUCUACAUUUUGCAACCCAAAGCUCCCUUGGUGAUACACCUGUUGUGGCAGCUCAUCUUAAUAAAAAUGAACAUUUGAUUCA
Long non-coding RNA from Capra hircus (goat), 584 nucleotides. RefSeq lists it as uncharacterized. NCBI's taxonomy places the organism in Eukaryota, Metazoa, Chordata, Mammalia, Artiodactyla, Bovidae. The transcript is spliced from 2 exons. The record is from RefSeq and is a predicted model, not a curated record.